RNAcentral lists this ribosomal RNA (253 nucleotides) under uncultured bacterium. RNAcentral's name for it is "partial 16S ribosomal RNA". It matches the Rfam family "Bacterial small subunit ribosomal RNA", at positions 524 to 776 of the family's 1533-position model. The record is from RNAcentral.
CACGUAGGGCGCAAGCGUUGUCCGGAAUUAUUGGGCGUAAAGAGCUCGUAGGCGGUCUGUUGCGUCCGCUGUGAAAACUCGGGGCUUAACCCCGAGCCUGCAGUGGAUACGGGCAGACUAGAGGUAGGUAGGGGAGAAUGGAAUUCCCGGUGUAGCGGUGAAAUGCGCAGAUAUCGGGAGGAACACCAGUAGCGAAGGCGGCUCGCUGGGCCAUUCCUGACGCUGAGACGCGAAAGCUAGGGGAGCGAACAGG